This 324-nucleotide long non-coding RNA is filed under the name Coturnix japonica (Japanese quail). RNAcentral's name for it is "lncRNA (ENSCJPG00005015982.1)". Lineage: Eukaryota; Metazoa; Chordata; Aves; Galliformes; Phasianidae. The record is from RNAcentral.
GCUUCAUCCUUUAGUGCUAAGAUACUGCUUUUGAAUUUAAUGCAGGAGAAACUUAUACUGCCUUAUCUACUGCAUACUGCAAAGACGUGGCCAGCAACAUUUCUGCCAAUGCAAGACUUUGGGAAAAAUGUCUGUAUGUAAAUGUAUAGUUACUUAUUUUAUGUUAACUUGGUUCUUCAUAGCUAAGAAUUAAUCAAGGCUGCAAAGCUAUGUGAGAGCAAUAGUUUCUUUCCAUUUGGAAAGAAACUAUAAGAAACUUAGACUUAAACUAAAAGAAACUUAUUUGUAAGGCCUUAUGUGUAGUUAUAUACAGAUAUAGCUGAU